This 120-nucleotide ribosomal RNA is filed under the name Eptatretus burgeri (inshore hagfish). The record is from RNAcentral. Lineage: Eukaryota; Metazoa; Chordata; Myxini; Myxiniformes; Myxinidae.
AACAGCCUCCAACUUAUUCCCAUGAAGGCAUCAAAUCACGUUAAAUAUUGGAAGCUAAGCAGAUUUGAGCAUGGUUAGUAGUUUGAACGGAGACCACCAUGGAGAACUGAGUGUUUGUUU